GUACCGCCCUGGUAGUCGGAAGUGAUGACGUGGCACCAAGCUACAGUGUAGGCGUGUUGACAAGGCGCCAGAUCCGCAGAAGGGAAGGAAGUCGGGGGGCUCGUGUAGUCGCCAGUUAUUAAGUUGGCGUGCUCCGAUCUCCAGCAUACCAGGCGAUCGCCCAGUUGAAGAUGAAGUCGCCAGAUUGUAAACUCAGGCGACUAAGUGAUUGGAGAUCGCCAGAACAAGCACAUCGCCGAAGAUGAAGGUGGUGCAGAUUAUGAAGGCGGCCGGCGAGACCACAGGGAAGGUGUACGAGAGCACCCUAACUCGCCAAUCCCAGUAGAGAUCGCGCUCCCAAGUUAGCUAUGCACUGGGCAGUACCAUGCAUAAGUAACUUAGCCAAAAAGAGAGUCAGAAGCAGUGCCCAAGUCAAGAAGGCUCUAGAUGGUGGCACGUGUACGGCUGGAUGCGAGCCACGUGUCCAGGUCUGUAACUGCCAGGAGAGAGAAAGUGAC
Molecule: long non-coding RNA, 497 nt
Filed under: Phaseolus vulgaris (common bean)
Lineage: Eukaryota; Viridiplantae; Streptophyta; Magnoliopsida; Fabales; Fabaceae
Description: long non-coding RNA (PVUL_LNC003925)
Source: RNAcentral